UUUAUAGAUUGAGCCAUGUUGAGUGUGGUAAUUAGAGAAUGAAUGCAGAUGAUGAAUAAAGAAAGGUAUGAUGAGUUGGUGUGAGUGUAGGAGUAAGAUGUAGUGGAUGAAGAGUGAGAAUGAGAAGGAAAAAAUAACAGUGAGAAGUGCUUCAAAGCAAGGAUAUAUGAGUGGCGGUGAGAACACUUUUCCUUGAAGAUGUAGAUAUGUGGAUUGUUUGCUUCCUCCUUUUCCUCAGUGAGAGCCUGUAAAAGUCUCAGCUCUAAGCAAUCUCUUGUCAUUCAUUCCUCUUUCUCAUAAAGCUACACUACAGCAUCAGAACAAGACAACUUCCAUCCCUCCAAAAUCCCACCACCCUUUUCAUUAUUGUAUUCUUAUAAUGACCUGUCUUUCAUCUUUAUUAUUUACUCACCUCUUUUCUUUAUUUUAACUCUCUCUCUCUCUUCUUCCUUCUACUUCCCUUCUCUGUCCCCUCUUUUCCAUUUAUUAUUUAGUGCUGUACUGAUUGGGAACUUGAGUGCUUGCAGGCCUUUCUUUGCUUCUUGAACCUUGAGAAAGCUCUUCAUAGCUAGACACACACAACAUGGACCCUGCUAUAGGAAUUCAUCACACUCACUCAUAAAACUAUGUAUAUAUAGGUCUAUAUGCAAGAUGGUUGGAAGAACCAACCUAACUUGUAUCUCUCAAUAUAUAUCUUCAAUUUGUUUUUCAUUACCUUUCUUCUCUUAUGUACAUCAUUCCUGUUUCGAGCUUUUAUUUCUUGUGAGGCCUGCUAUUUCAAUUUCUUGAGCUUGCUAAUGAUCUUGUGAGAAACGGACUCGUUAUUGAAGAAGGAAAAGAGGGUGUCUGGAAUGAAGUUUGAUCCGAAAUCAUUGUCUCAGUGAUGGAAAGGGGGUGUUUGGAAUGAAGUUUGAUCCAAGAUCAUCACAUAUAUCUUCAAUUUCCCUUGUGUUUGCUUCUUGAUUUACCUUCAUAAAUUUGUUUAUCAUCAUAUGCAUGGGAUGGGACUGAUCUCGGACCAGGCUUCAUUCUUCACACCUACCUUUCCUUGUAGAAGCAAUCAACCACAACAAGACAAAGGUAAUCCCUUUUUUCCUUCCAAAUGAUUUGUCUAUCUAUCAGAUUUAAGUAGUUUGCUGGUUUCCAUGUCCUUUUAUGUUCUACCAACCAAAAAUAUUUUAGGCAGUUUCUUUUUCGUUUGUUAUCAUUAUUGCUUGUCUUUGGUAGUGUGCUUUUGAAAGAAGAUGGAGAACUUAGCAUCAACUGUUUUCAAUAUGCUACCUAAUAUAGCUAAAUCUGUGUGGUCUAGUUAAAUUGAUCCGAGUCUUAUCAGAUGUAAGCCGCAAACAACACUAUAUAUGAUCUCAAUCUACAGAAACUAUGAGCACACCAUAUUCCAUGUUUUGCACAGAAAAAUAUGAAAUGCUAAAUGUAAACAUAAUUAAACAUUAGUUGAUUGAUACUUCUCCCACGCCCAACGCGCCGUCAUCUUUGUCCUUGCUGCUUUCACACACCUAUUCUAAGAAACCCUAGCCGAGUCUUGUGACUUUCUAGGACACAUUCAUCUUUUUUAUCAAUGAAACUUUCAUAUGAUGAAUGAUACAUCAUAAAGGUUGACACCCAUUUUGGGGAAUUAUUGGCACCACCCUGCUGCUGAAACAAGACAAUAAGACAAUGAGUUUACUCAGAUAUUCCCUCCAUAGUUCAAUACUGCCCCUGCUUUUCCCCCAUUAACUGUACCCACAAAAAGGGUUAAUCACUGCAUACAUUUUACAUACUUAUUCUGCAUAUCUUUUGUAUAUGUAUGUGCAUGCCUUAACAUGUAGAUCAAGAUAUAAAGUUAACAUCACACAUACAUACACAUUGUUAUUUCUUCUUACAUUACUCUAUCUUAAUUCACAAAUAACCAUUGUUCCAGAGUGUUACAAGGAACUCAACAUAGUUAGAAGCAUUGGAUGUAUAUGUACAUGUGUGUGUGUAUAUAUAUAUAUAUGCAGAACUCAUUCAUGUAUCACAUAGGGGUAGGGUACAAGAAUCUCGCUGUCUUCUUGCUCUACGUUUGUGAGCGGUAUUCAGAUUCCUUGGAAUAUAUCAUACAACAUUUUGGUUUUUUUUAAAAGCAUAUGUAUAAUAUGUUGGAUUUAUUUUAUAGGAAAUGUCAGGAAGUUGAAUGCAUGCUUGAUAUGGAUAAAUUAAUAUUUUACUGACUUCUAUGAUAUGUUUUUUUUUGUUAAUUUGGUAUGUAUGGAACAACAUUAAAACUUGUUCUUUAAGCGCGUGGUAAAAGCUAGUAUGCCACGUGACAAAGAACUAUAUCAUUGCAAAGUUAUGGCGUGAAGUGAGUUAAAAACUGAAGUCACUUUUAACCUACACCACAUGACAUUGUGAUGUACACAGUUAUUGAAUAGCUUAUGGUUGAACCUAACAUAUCUUUCUUUUC
This is a long non-coding RNA of Vigna radiata var. radiata (mung bean), 2440 nucleotides long. RefSeq lists it as uncharacterized. The transcript has 2 exons. Lineage: Eukaryota; Viridiplantae; Streptophyta; Magnoliopsida; Fabales; Fabaceae. The record is from RefSeq and is a predicted model, not a curated record.